GAAUCUUGCGCAAUGGGCGAAAGCCUGACGCAGCCAUGCCGCGUGAAUGAUGAAGGUCUUAGGAUUGUAAAAUUCUUUCACCGGGGACGAUAAUGACGGUACCCGGAGAAGAAGCCCCGGCUAACUUCGUGCCAGCAGCCGCGGUAAUACGAAGGGGGCUAGCGUUGCCCGGAAUUACUGGGCGUAAAGGGCGCGUAGGCGGAUCGUUAAGUCAGAGGUGAAAUCCCAGGGCUCAACCCUGGAACGGCCGUUGAUACUGGCGAUCUUGAGUAUGAGAGAGGUAUGUGGAACUCCGAGUGUAGAGGUGAAAUUCGUAGAUAUUCGGAAGAACACCAGUGGCGAAGGCAACCCCCUGGGCCUGUACUGACGCUCAUGCACGAAAGCGUGGGGAGCAAACAG
Molecule: ribosomal RNA, 399 nt
Filed under: uncultured bacterium
Lineage: Bacteria
Description: partial 16S ribosomal RNA
Rfam family: Bacterial small subunit ribosomal RNA
Source: RNAcentral